This is a transfer RNA of 84 nucleotides. It matches the Rfam family "tRNA". Rfam says of the family: Transfer RNA (tRNA) molecules are approximately 80 nucleotides in length. Their secondary structure includes four short double-helical elements and three loops (D, anti-codon, and T loops). Further hydrogen bonds mediate the characteristic L-shaped molecular structure. tRNAs have two regions of fundamental functional importance: the anti-codon, which is responsible for specific mRNA codon recognition, and the 3' end, to which the tRNAs corresponding amino acid is attached (by aminoacyl-tRNA synthetases). tRNAs cope with the degeneracy of the genetic code in two manners: having more than one tRNA (with a specific anti-codon) for a particular amino acid; and 'wobble' base-pairing, i.e. permitting non-standard base-pairing at the 3rd anti-codon position.
GCGGCGGUGGCGCAGCCGGCGACGCAGCAGAUUUAGGUUCUGUGGCCCGUAUAGGGCUUGAGGGUUCGAAUCCCUUCCGCCGCA